Molecule: transfer RNA, 73 nt
Filed under: Lachnospiraceae bacterium
Lineage: Bacteria; Bacillati; Bacillota; Clostridia; Lachnospirales; Lachnospiraceae
Also listed under: 1 other name
Description: tRNA-Thr
Rfam family: tRNA
About the family: Transfer RNA (tRNA) molecules are approximately 80 nucleotides in length. Their secondary structure includes four short double-helical elements and three loops (D, anti-codon, and T loops).
Source: RNAcentral
GCUCAUAUGGCGCAGCUGGUAGCGCAACUGAUUCGUAAUCAGUAGGUCGGCAGUUCAAACCUGCCUAUGAGCU